GACUCUUCAAAACGAGGACUUUAUUGGUAAUGUAGACCAGAAUUGGAACGAACUGUCAUUCACUGGUAUAGCAUUAACAAAGCAGGGAAAAUAUGCAGCAGCAACUGAAAUCUUUAAUUUCCAGGCAGGUGACAUCUUUAAGAGCACCAGAGGUCAUAGAAAGGGGUAAUGAGACCCAUUGACAGAGUCAGGACUUACUUUGAAACCUUGAUGCUGGAACCAAAAUUUUCAGUUAUUGUUAUCAUUUAUCAACAUUAUCAGAUCUGGAGCCUGAGUAAAUGCAGGAUUAAGACCUGAGAAAGAAAACGAGCCACUGUAAAGGGUGUGUGGAAAACGUAUGAGUUUUGAACCUUAAUAGAGUACCAGGCUCCAAGUUACAGAUCUACUCACAGAAAUCAUGAUCAAGAGAAGUGCACAGUGAUUCUUGUAAGACUGACUAAUGAAAUCAGACUUAGAAGCAAUCUCUAAAUAUGCAGAUCUAAAUAGAUCUA
Long non-coding RNA from Passer domesticus (house sparrow), 491 nucleotides. RefSeq lists it as uncharacterized. The transcript is spliced from 3 exons. The record is from RefSeq and is a predicted model, not a curated record. Lineage: Eukaryota; Metazoa; Chordata; Aves; Passeriformes; Passeridae.